GAUGAAGAACGUAGUGAAAUGCGAAAAGUAAUGUGAAUUGCAGAAUUCAGUGAAUCAUCGAAUCUUUGAACGCACAUUGCGCCCGCUGGUACUCCGGCGGGCACGCCUGUCCGAGCGUCAUUUCAACCCUCAAGCCCUCCUUCGGGAUGGGCCUGGUGUUGGGGCUCGGCCGCCAUCUCCGGCGGCCGUCCCCUAAAUACAGUGGCGGUCACGUCGCGACUCCUUUGCGUAGUAGAAACACCUCGCUCCGGAUAGCAACGCGGUCCACGCCGUAAAACCCCCAAUUUUCAAUGGUUGACCUCGGAUCAGGUGGGAAUACCCGCUGAACUUAAGCAUAUCAAUAAGCGGAGGA
Molecule: unclassified non-coding RNA, 352 nt
Filed under: soil metagenome
Description: partial contains 5.8S ribosomal RNA, internal transcribed spacer 2, and large subunit ribosomal RNA
Rfam family: 5.8S ribosomal RNA (bases 1-120)
Source: RNAcentral